CCUACGGGCGGCAGCAGUGAGGAAUAUUGGUCAAUGGACGCAAGUCUGAACCAGCCAUGCCGCGGGCAGGAAGACGGCUCUAUGAGUUGUAAACCGCUUUUGUACGAGGGUAAACGCAGAUACGCGUAUCUUUCUGAAAGUAUCGUACGAAUAAGGAUCGGCUAACUCCGUGCCAGCAGCCGCGGUAAUACGGAGGAUUCAAGCGUUAUCCGGAUUUAUUGGGUUUAAAGGGUGCGUAGGCGGUCGGAUAAGUUAGAGGUGAAAUCCCGAGGCUCAACUUCGGAAUUGCCUCUGAUACUGUUCGGCUAGAGAGUAGUUGCGGUAGGCGGAAUGUAUGGUGUAGCAGUGAAAUGCUUAGAGAUCAUACAGAACACCGAUUGCGAAGGCAGCUUACCAAGCUACUUCUGACGUUGAGGCACGAAAGCGUGGGGAGCAAACAGGAUUAGAUACCCUUGUAGUC
RNAcentral lists this ribosomal RNA (460 nucleotides) under uncultured bacterium. RNAcentral's name for it is "partial 16S ribosomal RNA". It matches the Rfam family "Bacterial small subunit ribosomal RNA", at positions 338 to 795 of the family's 1533-position model. The record is from RNAcentral.